RNAcentral lists this ribosomal RNA (468 nucleotides) under uncultured bacterium. RNAcentral describes it as "partial 16S ribosomal RNA". It matches the Rfam family "Bacterial small subunit ribosomal RNA", at positions 28 to 507 of the family's 1533-position model. The record is from RNAcentral.
GACGAACGCUGGCGGCGUGCUUAACACAUGCAAGUCGAACGGAAAGGCCCUGCUUUUGUGGGUUGCUCGAGUGGCGAACGGGUGAGUAACACGUGAGUAACCUGCCCUGGACUUUGGGAUAACUUCAGGAAACUGGGGCUAAUACCGGAUAGGAGCUCCGGCUGCAGGGUGGGGGUUGGAAAGUUUCGGCGGUUGGGGAUGGACUCGCGGCUUAUCAGCUUGUUGGUGGGGUAGUGGCUUACCAAGGCUUUGACGGGUAGCCGGCCUGAGAGGGUGACCGGCCACAUUGGGACUGAGAUACGGCCCAGACUCCUACGGGAGGCAGCAGUGGGGAAUAUUGCACAAUGGGCGGAAGCCUGAUGCAGCAACGCCGCGUGCGGGAUGACGGCCUUCGGGUUGUAAACCGCUUUCGCCUGUGACGAAGCGUGAGUGACGGUAAUGGGUAAAGAAGCACCGGCUAACUACGUG